Molecule: ribosomal RNA, 444 nt
Filed under: uncultured bacterium
Lineage: Bacteria
Description: SSU rRNA
Rfam family: Bacterial small subunit ribosomal RNA
Source: RNAcentral
AGAGCGAACGCUGGCGGCAGGCCUAAUACAUGCAAGUCGAACGCACCUUCGGGUGAGUGGCGGACGGGUGAGUAACACGUGGGAACGUGCCUUUUGGUUCGGAAUAAUCCGGGGAAACCUGGCCUAAUACCGGAUGUGCCCUUCGGGGGAAAGAUUUAUCGCCAUUAGAGCGGCCCGCGUCUGAUUAGCUAGUUGGUGAGGUAACGGCCCACCAAGGCGACGAUCAGUAGCUGGUCUGAGAGGAUGAUCAGCCACACUGGGACUGAGACACGGCCCAGACUCCUACGGGAGGCAGCAGUAGGGAAUCUUGCGCAAUGGGCGAAAGCCUGACGCAGCCAUGCCGCGUGAAUGAUGAAGGUCUUAGGAUUGUAAAAUUCUUUCAGCGGGGAAGAUAAUGACUGUACCCGCAGAAGAAGCUCCGGCUAACUUCGCGCCAGCAGCCGC